Pteropus vampyrus (large flying fox) is the source of this 127-nucleotide small nucleolar RNA. Its record names the gene SNORA70. It matches the Rfam family "Small nucleolar RNA SNORA70". From Rfam's summary of the family: snoRNA U70 seems to be exclusive to mammals and is a member of the H/ACA class of snoRNA which contain H (ANANNA) and ACA box motifs. H/ACA box snoRNAs are involved in the conversion of uridines to pseudouridines (5-ribosyluracil) a constituent of structural RNAs (transfer, ribosomal, small nuclear, and small nucleolar). The record is from Ensembl. Lineage: Eukaryota; Metazoa; Chordata; Mammalia; Chiroptera; Pteropodidae.
UCGCUAGGCCAAUUAAACCAAACGUGCUCUUUUCCCCAUGGGGGCCUAGUGUGCAACAGCAGCAUCCUUGGUAGUGUAUGCAGCCUGUUGCUUGUAUGAGUUGCCCUAAGGGACCUUGGAGACAGCC